UGGCGGACGGGUGAGUAAUGUCUGGGAAACUGCCCGAUGGAGGGGGAUAACUACUGGAAACGGUAGCUAAUACCGCAUAACGUCGCAAGACCAAAGCGGGGGACCUCCGGGCCUCGCGCCAUCAGAUGAACCCAUAUGGGAUUAGCUUGUAGGUAAGGUAACGGCUUACCUAGGCGACGAUCCCUAGCUGGUCUGAGAGGAUGACCAGCCACACUGGAACUGAGACACGGUCCAG
RNAcentral lists this ribosomal RNA (235 nucleotides) under uncultured bacterium. Its description in RNAcentral is "partial 16S ribosomal RNA". It matches the Rfam family "Bacterial small subunit ribosomal RNA", at positions 96 to 334 of the family's 1533-position model. The record is from RNAcentral.